Danio aesculapii is the source of this 585-nucleotide long non-coding RNA. RefSeq lists it as uncharacterized. The record is from RefSeq and is a predicted model, not a curated record. The transcript is spliced from 4 exons. NCBI's taxonomy places the organism in Eukaryota, Metazoa, Chordata, Actinopteri, Cypriniformes, Danionidae.
CGGCAGUGAUCAGACGACAUUUUGAAGGAGCAGAUCAACAGCGAGCAUGUUAAGAGUUUAAUGAAGAAAACUUUCGCAGUGUUUUCCCACUAAAGAGGAGCAGUUUAUUGAGGCAGAUUUUGAUAAAGAGAAUGGGUGCCAUACAUCAGACCUCACAUUAAAUCAGGGAUGAAACGAGAGAUGUCGUCCUCUGUUGCUGGUCUAUCUGUAUGAAUAAGAGGAAGAGCUCAUCCAGGAGUGCAAUUGUGGGAAUGCACAGAGAAUUGCUGUCUGUCAGAGGGAUGACCAACCAUGAGGACUUCUGCAUUGUCUUGGAGGAUAAGUGAGUCAUGGCUAGCCUGGAAAAUCUAGAAUCGCUGAACUGGAUUUAUACAAAUAUUCCACAAAUUAAAAUCACUUACAAAGAAAUGAAUAUUAAGUUUGCAAUACACAAAUUCUGUCAAAUAUUGUCUAAAAUGUGACUAUUCCUACAAAGGAAAGUUGACAGGUCAGUUUUUUCCAUGACAUGGAUAAAGGAAUUUUUAUCAGAGAUUAGCAUUGCUGUAAAUUUUAUAUAGAUUUGUUUAACAUAUUGUACCAUUUUGU